GCAUGUUCCAUGACAAAAGCAGAGAAUGAAUCAUAGUAAUAACUUACAAUUUUAUAGUGCUGGCUGUUGACAGCACCCAUUUGCAGGCCUUGUAUCAUGUAAUCCUCUUAAGAACUCAUUGAUAUAUCAUAGUCCACAUCUUGGCAAUAGAAAUCUCAGACUAUGAAAGAUUAAGUAGUGAUGUGCCCCAGGUCACACAGCUGGCAAGUGACAAAACAUUCCUUUGAACCUAAUUCUUCUAGGUCAUGCUCAGUGCUCACAACUUCCUGAGCAUUCAUUUGAAGGGCAGAAGAGAAGCUCACAUGGGAAAUAUGGGCUCACCUAGUAGCCAAUUGGCAUGCCUGGGAUGCCUUAAGCAAAUGGACAACUUGAGCCACGAGAGUUCUGCAAUUUGGGAGAAAUGCCUGGUGAAAUGGAAAUGCUCUGGGGAUAAAUUACUGCCAUGCUCAUACAAGAAGGCUGGUAUUAGUACAGAAACUGCCAAGUAUUAAAUCUACUAUGUCCAAGUUCUAUGUUAGACCGUUAUAUACAUCACAUACUUGAGAAAGGUCUUUUAAAUGAUGUUAUGUCUACAUUUCAGAUUAAUAAAGGGAUAUUGACAAAAUUUAAGUCCAAAGUUACCGAGAGAGCAAGUGAGGGCAAAUGUGUUUCCAUCCCAAUGCUGCUUGACUAUUUAGACAGUGCUUCCAUUGCCAGACCCUGAACAGAAGACGAGACAAACGAUACCUCCAGGCAAGAAGCUGGGGUAGAGAAACCACUUAACCUUCUACCUAACUUCGCUAGAUCCAGCUUGAAUUGCCAAUUAUGAAUGGCUCUAUUAGAAAAGCACACAAAGUCUCUGUUUCUUAUUUUUAUUUGAUUUGGUAAACACGCCUUCUAUACACUGUAUACUUUGCUGAGGCAGAAUGUGGCCUUGGUUGCUUUUCUUGAUCCAUCCAGAGGAUGGUUGUGAGAUGUGGCUCCUUACUGAGUGCCUUAAGGAACCAACUACACUGUGCUGAGAAAGGCAAGAAUAUAGGGCUCAUGCUGCUCUGUGAUUAAAGUUUCUUGGACAAAAGUUUACCUAAAGAGCUUUAUUGUUUCAGUGUCUUCUGAGAGCUAGUAUUCUGAGCAGUCUUGGGAAGGGAGUUAUUAUCUAGUGUAUGGAAUACUGUAGUCAGCUUCCAGCCUAGGUGAAUUUUAGUAAAAUAAAAUAAAAUUUAAAAGUGGGAGUAGAAGCUGGGUGACUUGCCCAUAUUUGCAUCUAAAGGCAGAAUCAAACAAUACCAGGCAGGUUCCCAAGUGCUGAGUGGAGUCCACAGCAAAAGCUAGUGGGAAACCAAACGGGGGUUUUUUAGCAGUGUCUCUGCUGAGUGCUCUGUCUAUUCUGUGCACAUUGAUUAAUCGGGAGGAAUAUACCAUUCAGAGUUCCCACUAUCCACUUAUUAUGUUAGUGCCUUAAAUAAAAAUGUAUAUAAAUAAGAUCCCAGUACUGCAAGAAAAUUUGUUUGGUUAUUUAUUUCUUAAUAACUGCCUUUGACAGAGUCUUAUGUCUGUACAAGACGUUAAGAAUAAGUGACAAUUGAGUGUUCUGUCCUAAAAAAGCUCCCAGAAGUAUUUCAGCAGAGGGAGCAGAAAGAGUAGAAGAGCUGAAAGAUAAGGAAGGACUGUGAGGUGUCAUCUUAUGGACCAUGCCAGACAUUGCAAUCACACACUGAUAGCAACUAUGGAUGACUUGAUGGGGUCUGUUGAAGAAUGACCAGGCAAGGAUGCAAGAGGGACACCAUGACCCUGCUGCUUCUUGCUGAAUUAUUUCCUGUUGAUAGAUUCAGGGAAAGAGGGAGGAGACAUCUCCUUCAGUAUUAUACCCACUGGUUAUCCUCUCAGGCUCCAACAGAUGGUCCCAAUAUAACAAGGAGGUCCUGGUUAAAUAAUAUAGACCAGACAAUAAAACCAAAAUGUAUAUAUCUGAGGAGGGAAUGGAAAAGAGUCAGUUUGGUAGGGGAGGUGGGGAGAUGAGUGAGG
RNAcentral lists this long non-coding RNA (2004 nucleotides) under Mus musculus (house mouse). RNAcentral's name for it is "long non-coding RNA chr10:36741345-36743349". Lineage: Eukaryota; Metazoa; Chordata; Mammalia; Rodentia; Muridae. The record is from RNAcentral.